Molecule: ribosomal RNA, 465 nt
Filed under: uncultured bacterium
Lineage: Bacteria
Description: bacterial SSU rRNA
Rfam family: Bacterial small subunit ribosomal RNA
Source: RNAcentral
UUCCAGACUCCUACGGGAGGCAGCAGUGAGGAAUAUUGGUCAAUGGGAGAGAUCCUGAACCAGCCAAGCCGCGUGAGGGAAGACGGCCCUAUGGGUUGUAAACCUCUUUUGUCGGAGAACAAAACCCGGGACGUGUCCCGGACUGCGUGUAUCCGAAGAAAAAGCAUCGGCUAACUCCGUGCCAGCAGCCGCGGUAAUACGGAGGAUGCGAGCGUUAUCCGGAUUUAUUGGGUUUAAAGGGUGCGCAGGCGGGAGAUCAAGUCAGCGGUAAAAUGUCGGGGCUCAACCCCGGCCGGCCGUUGAAACUGGUUUUCUAGAGUUGGAGAGAAGUAUGCGGAAUUCGUGGUGUAGCGGUGAAAUGCAUAGAUAUCACGAAGAACUCCGAUUGCGAAGGCAGCAUACCGGCUCCAUACUGACGCUGAGGCACGAAAGCGUGGGGAUCGAACAGGAUUAGAUACCCCUGUA